This 745-nucleotide ribosomal RNA is filed under the name Ascomycota sp. FW-2454. RNAcentral describes it as "eukaryotic LSU rRNA". It matches the Rfam family "Eukaryotic large subunit ribosomal RNA", at positions 111 to 878 of the family's 3401-position model. Lineage: Eukaryota; Fungi; Ascomycota. The record is from RNAcentral.
AAAUUUGAAAUCUGGCCCUAGGGUCCGAGUUGUAAUUUGUAGAGGAUGCUUUUGGGCAGUCUUCCGGUCUAAGUUCCUUGGAACAGGACGUCAUAGAGGGUGAGAAUCCCGUAUGUGACCGGCUAGGCACCCUCCGUAAAGCUCCUUCGACGAGUCGGGUUGUUUGGGAAUGCAGCCCUAAAUUGGAGGUAAAUUUCUUCUAAAGCUAAAUACCGGCCAGAGACCGAUAGCGCACAAGUAGAGUGAUCGAAAGAUGAAAAGCACUUUGGAAAGAGAGUUAAAAAGCACGUGAAAUUGUUGAAAGGGAAGCGCUUGCAAUCAGACUCGGCUUUGGCUGUUCAGCCGGUCUUCUGACCGGUCCAUUCAGUCUUUGUCGGCCCAGCGUCAGUUUCGGCGGCCGGAUAAAGGCCCUGGGAACGUAGCUCCCUCGGGAGUGUUAUAGCCCAGGGUGUAAUACGGCCAGCCGGGACUGAGGUCCGCGAUUCGUCUAGGACGCUGGGGUAAUGGUUGUAAGCGGCCCGUCUUGAAACACGGACCAAGGAGUCUAACAUCUAUGCGAGUGUUUGGGUGUCAAACCCCUACGCGUAAUGAAAGUGAACGGAGGUGGGAACCCGCAAGGGUGCACCAUCGACCGAUCCUGAUGUCUUCGGAUGGAUUUGAGUAAGAGCAUAGCUGUUGGGACCCGAAAGAUGGUGAACUAUGCCUGAAUAGGGUGAAGCCAGAGGAAACUCUGGUGGAGGCUCGC